RNAcentral lists this ribosomal RNA (473 nucleotides) under uncultured Clostridia bacterium. RNAcentral describes it as "bacterial SSU rRNA". It matches the Rfam family "Bacterial small subunit ribosomal RNA", at positions 8 to 507 of the family's 1533-position model. Lineage: Bacteria; Bacillati; Bacillota; Clostridia. The record is from RNAcentral.
AGAGUUUGAUCCUGGCUCAGGACGAACGCUGGCGGCGUGCUUAACACAUGCAAGUCGAGCGGACGUAGCAAUACGUUAGCGGCGGACGGGUGAGUAACGCGUGAGCAACCUGCCUUUAUCAGGGGGAUAACACUUAGAAAUAGGUGCUAAUACCGCAUAAGACCACAGUCGGGCAUCCGACAGGGGUAAAAGCAUAUACGGAUAAAGAUGGGCUCGCGUCCCAUUAGCUAGUUGGUAGGGUAACGGCCUACCGAGGCGACGAUGGGUAGCCGACCUGAGAGGGUGAUCGGCCACAUUGGAACUGAGAAACGGUCCAAACUCCUACGGGAGGCAGCAGUGGGGAAUAUUGGGCAAUGGAGGAAACUCUGACCCAGCAACGCCGCGUGAAGGAUGAAGGUUUUCGGAUUGUAAACUUCUGUCGCGAGGGACGAAGAAUGACGGUACCUCGUAAGAAAGCCCCGGCAAACUACGUG